Molecule: ribosomal RNA, 253 nt
Filed under: uncultured bacterium
Lineage: Bacteria
Description: partial 16S ribosomal RNA
Rfam family: Bacterial small subunit ribosomal RNA
Source: RNAcentral
UACGAAGGGGGCUAGCGUUGCUCGGAAUCACUGGGCGUAAAGCGCACGUAGGCGGUCUUUUAAGUCAGGGGUGAAAUCCUGGAGCUCAACUCCAGAACUGCCUUUGAUACUGGGAGACUUGAGUCCGGGAGAGGUGAGUGGAACUGCGAGUGUAGAGGUGAAAUUCGUAGAUAUUCGCAAGAACACCAGGGGCGAAGGCGGCUCACUGGCCCGGUACUGACGCUGAGGUGCGAAAGCGUGGGGAGCAAACAGG